UUGGAGGGCAAGUCUGGUGCCAGCAGCCGCGGUAAUUCCAGCUCCAAUAGCGUAUAUUAAAGUUGUUGCAGUUAAAAAGCUCGUAGUUGAAUUUCGGGAUCAGAGUGUCGGUCGUGCCUCGGUACGCACUGGUAUUAUUGGUUCCUACCUUCUGAAGAACCGCGAUGUCAUUAAUUUGGUGUCGUGGGGAAUCAGGACUGUUACUUUGAAAAAAUUAGAGUGUUUAAAGCAGGCUUACGCUUGAAUACAUUAGCAUGGAAUAAUGAAAUAGGACGUUUGAUUCUAUUUUGUUGGUUUCUAGGAUUGACGUAAUGAUUAAUAGGGAUAGUUGGGGGCAUUAGUAUUCAAUUGUCAGAGGUGAAAUUCUUGGAUUUAUUGAAGACUAACUACUGCGAAAGCAUUUGCCAAGGAUGUUUUCAUUAAUCAAGAACGAAAGUUAGGGGAUCGAAGACGAUCAGAUACCGUCGUAGUCUUAACCAUAAACUAUGCCGACUAGGGAUCGGAUGAUGUUAAUUUUUUAAUGACUCAUUCGGCGCCUUACGGGAAAC
This 548-nucleotide ribosomal RNA is filed under the name uncultured Glomeromycotina. Its description in RNAcentral is "SSU rRNA". It matches the Rfam family "Eukaryotic small subunit ribosomal RNA", at positions 548 to 1098 of the family's 1831-position model. Lineage: Eukaryota; Fungi; Glomeromycota. The record is from RNAcentral.